This is a transfer RNA of Camelus ferus (Wild Bactrian camel), 73 nucleotides long. It matches the Rfam family "tRNA". From Rfam's summary of the family: Transfer RNA (tRNA) molecules are approximately 80 nucleotides in length. Their secondary structure includes four short double-helical elements and three loops (D, anti-codon, and T loops). Further hydrogen bonds mediate the characteristic L-shaped molecular structure. tRNAs have two regions of fundamental functional importance: the anti-codon, which is responsible for specific mRNA codon recognition, and the 3' end, to which the tRNAs corresponding amino acid is attached (by aminoacyl-tRNA synthetases). tRNAs cope with the degeneracy of the genetic code in two manners: having more than one tRNA (with a specific anti-codon) for a particular amino acid; and 'wobble' base-pairing, i.e. permitting non-standard base-pairing at the 3rd anti-codon position. The record is from Rfam. Lineage: Eukaryota; Metazoa; Chordata; Mammalia; Artiodactyla; Camelidae.
GAGUGUAUAGCCCAAGUGGUAGAGCACAUGCUUAGUGUGCAUGAGGUUCUGGGUUCAAUCCCCAGUACCUUCC